RNAcentral lists this ribosomal RNA (407 nucleotides) under uncultured bacterium. RNAcentral describes it as "partial 16S ribosomal RNA". It matches the Rfam family "Bacterial small subunit ribosomal RNA", at positions 30 to 526 of the family's 1533-position model. The record is from RNAcentral.
AUUGAACGCUAGCGGGAUGCUUUACACAUGCAAGUCGAACGGAGUGGCGGACGGGUGAGUAAUAUAUCGGAACGUGGCCAGUAGCGGGGGAUAACUACUCGGAAGAGUGGCCAAUACCCCAUUCUAUUUGAGUGGCCUAUAUCGGAUAAGCUGGUUGGUGGGGUAAAGGCUCACCACGGCAACGAUCCGUAGCUGGUUUGCGAGUACGACCAGCCAAACUGGGACUGAGACACGGCCCGGACUCCUACGGGAGGCAGCAGUGGGGAAUUUUCGACAAUGGGGGAAACCCUAAUCCAGCCAUCCCGCGUGUAUGAUGAAGGCCUUCGGGUUGUAAAGUACCUUUGGCAGAGAAGCGGUAUCUGCAGAAUAAGCCCCGGCUAACUACGUGCCAGCCGCCGCGGUAAUUC